RNAcentral lists this long non-coding RNA (3911 nucleotides) under Dermacentor andersoni. RNAcentral describes it as "uncharacterized LOC126528917". Lineage: Eukaryota; Metazoa; Arthropoda; Arachnida; Ixodida; Ixodidae. The record is from RNAcentral.
CUUAGCACGGUACCUUUUAUGGUAACCUUUAAUCACGAGUAACUUAUAAAAUAAAGGUUACAUGCGAAAUAUGUUGAUGUUUUAAUUAAAUGUUGUUACGUAUAUAUAUAUCUAUAGGUUACAAGAGUCAAAAUUGACGGAUUUAGAGGUUAAUUCAGCGCAAAGCGCCUUGUAACCUUUAGAUUUUAACCUCUAAAGAACACUGCAGCGCAUCAGUGAGGAGACCUACAUCAUGGAUUGGACGUUUGCUGAUAAAUGUAUCCUAAUGUGUUCGUGUUCUGCAGUUAUGAUCUGGUUGUUACAAACGUAGGACUUCGGCAGUUCGGGUUGUAUUCGGUCUUAAUUUCUGUCAGCCAAGCAGUUACAUUUUUCACGAUUUAAAACCAACAAAUAAAUCUAGCACGAUCGCACUUGCAAGUUCAUCUGCGCGCUGUUCUUUGACGAACCUCCAUACUUGGCGCACAGCCUUAUUUGAAGUAUCAGCAACGAAGACUGUGUCAUCGAAUGAUGUGGCGUGCACUGCCUGCGGAAACCCAGCAGUCGAACGUGACGGAAGCCCCCUGCUCUCGCACGCAUUCUAGCCACCAUGAGACAGGCAUGGAACAUCGGUAUUUCAACACGAGAAACAAAAGCGGGCGAGUUUCUUUAGAAAAAAUGAAUAUUUUUUAACAAAUUUAAUGUACGAGGCGAGAAAGAACAGUAGAAGAAAAGCACACGAACGCGGUGGAUCUUUCAGUAAAAGGUUGUUGAAAACAUUGGAUGGUUCUAUCACAUAUCAAUAUAAUUCAACUUGUCUACUAAAAUGUCCUUGUGCAGAACCUUUCAGUUGUCUGCAUACAUUUUCUACCUUUAACCGGGUUCGUUUCAUUCCCUGCACUGCCUUGAUGCUGUCAACAAAAAAUUUUCCAUGCUUCAACCAUAACCGCUCAAGAUGAGGUUAAUAGUUAGUGUGCAAGAAGCGCGUGCCUAAGAAACCAUGCCGACACGCGGUACCAGCUAGGCAGCGUGCGUACAUAAGUAUAAACGUGCGGCGAGGGAGCUGGGGAUGCGGUACGCGCUAGGCGACCGGCGUAACUGCUUUGAAAUAAACAACCUACAUGUCGGCGAACCAUUCUGCAUUGCACUUAGGAUGUUUUCUAAUAAAACUUGUAGCAACUGAUUCCACUGCCAGCUUUCUUUGGGCAUUAUAUAUAAGCUGUGCCGAAGAUUGGCACUACAACGACCGCAAAUUUAAGCUACACCAGACACGAAACGCGCCAAACGUUCAGUGAAAUCAACAGGAUGCCGCUACACUCACAUAAAAGCGAGCGCCGUCCGCUCCGUUGUCUUUUUAGGAGACAUAGACAGAUGAAAAGAGCGUUAAAUGUGUGAAGCCGCCAACUGAGAAAUGAAAUCUUUAUCACUGUCCAAACACGAAAUGCUUCCACCAUCACACCAAUAACAUCACUGGCACCUCUGACAUUUAUUUCUGUAAUUCAUUGCUUGUUUUCAUUUUUUUUUUUCAUUUUUGCUUGUGCCUCUAAGUGCCUCUUUCUAACAUGGCGGCAGGGAGCAGGCAUCAGCCACACCGGAGCGCGGCCAUCCACGGUGCUAUCAUCUCUCCUCCUCGGUCCAAUCGAGAUAGCUCGAGUUGCACGCUGGGAAGAUUUUAAGCGGGAGCGGGAGGCUCGGAGCCGGCGGGAGUGGUUAGCGCGCUGUCGUCCUGUCGUUGUUGUCGUUCUGAGACGGCCAUUAUAUUUGACUUGUUUGGAUACCAUCCGAUCACCAUUGUGUGCUGCCACCACUUGUAGCCUGCAGUAGUUAUUACCGCUUCUACUGGGAACUUGCGCCAUCCGCUGCACCCUCAUGCCUUUGUGCAGCAGAGACCUUUUCGGUGUGUUGCGAGGUCGCUGCAACGAGCCGGGUUGUGAGUGCAAGCGAUACACCAUUCUGCGCCUGUCGGAAAGUGACAAUCUGGUGAGGUGUGACUAUUGUGACCACGUCCCGAAUGCACACGGAAAAAUAUGUGAUCUCGAAACGAAAAAUGCAGCUGAGGCAAAGGUGCAAUGCAAUGUGCCAGGCACCGUGUUCGAGGCCUCAGUGUCACAUGAAACCGUGGAAGCUUGCACAUCUAGUCUCUCCUCAGUGCAAUAUGAGAGGACUGUCCCAGGAGGUGCCUCCAUAGAAAAUGAAUCGGCCUGAAUGCCUGUGCAAGAAUCACAGCCUGGCUGCUCUAAAGACUCCGCACCGUAGUCCCAUGUGGAAGAGCCCCCACUUGACAGCCCAGUGGUUGCCAUGGACAAAGAGAUCCGCCAUACUGAAUGCGGCCAAGAGCUAAAGGUGAGCCAGUUCUAAUUUUCCUUGAUGUAGAAUGCUUGGGCUCUUUGGGGUUGAGUUGUGCUCUGCAUCUGCAGUACUGCACGUUUUUGAUAAAUUUUACUUCGUCAGUUCACAUUAUACUGUGCAUAUUUAAUGUUUGUUAGGCGAAUGUUUAUAGGCUCUAAGUGUCUUUGUAGGCUCCACUGCCCAGUGGUGAUAUCCAGAUUGCAGCUCCCCACGUCUACACAUGCAGCGAGCACACGUGUGUUUAUGCUGGCAGCAGGCAAGAAAUAAUUUGGGUCUCGGACGGCAGCCUGGAGCUAGCUGUAAUUUAUUGUAUUUUAACCUACUACAUCAAGAACCUCGAUUAUCCAUAUGCAUUUGCACCAUUCCUGGCGCUGAUGCAGAAACUUGUGCUUCCCAGCAAUGUUGUGCCUAGAGGGCUCAUAAAUGACAUAUUGAAGUGUUUCUUUGCUCUUCUGAAGAAAAAGAAUGUGAUUUGACUCAAAGUCUAGAUAACAAUUCUCACCUUGCAUUAAUGUUCACUUGUUGCCAGGAGGUGGUGAACAGAUGCAUCAUUUUGUGCAUUACAGUUGCAUGCCUUUCUAUAACUGUUUUAUUGAAAAUUACUGAGGUAAUACAUCCAUUCAUGCAAGUGGCAUUUAGUAUUGUGCACAAGUAUUUAAUUUAGCUGCUCAAAAUUCUUAAAUUCGUGCAAUGUGAAUUAUGGCGGCCUUUCUUUGUCACUGAGUUAUUCUAACUGCUAGCCUCUAGAUGAUAGAGUAAUUGUGCAGUGCUAUGCAUAGUAGUGCCCAAAUGACCUUUUUCAAUAUUUAUUUUAAAUAGGUAGUGCAUUCAAGAAGUUUGAAUACCAUCCUUGACAUUGUUAGCUAGACAGUAAAAUGUGUCUUGUAGUAAUUUUAAUAAAAAAAUGUUCAUGUUUGCAUUGUCACAAGGAUCUAAACUGAGAGUUCACUAUGCUGUAAGCAUCACCACUUCCAGCCUUUUGUCAUUUGGCCCUACAAGCCAGCACUUCGCACAUUUCCUGGUUAAGCUUUGUCUGAUGUUUGUAAGAGCAACAAGUUGUCUUUUGAUGCCAGUGGCGGUCAAUGCUAACACUAAGGAAACGUUGCUCAGGUAUAGAUGGGCUGCAUGCAUGCAUGGCCUUGUGGUCCAGUCUUCUUUUUUAGGUUCACCUAUAGCUAAUACUUUGUAUAUUUUUUGCAUCGGCUACAUUGCAUUGGUAACGUCUUUAUUGAUCUGCUCUAAUGCUGUACAUUGAUGUGUAAAGCUUUUUUUAUGUAGUGUCCAAUGUGGAUCUGAACACAAGUGUCCAGUUUUUGUUCCUGCAAUCUCAUAUACUAAUCUUUGCCUUGUUUUCUUGCUUCCUGACAGCAGCACAAGUUUUUACAUGGACAGUUAACACGAAGUUAUUGACGACAUGCAUGGCUGAAGCACGGUGAUAUGAUUUUAAAAAUUCCUGUGAUAUGAUGCAAGUGAUAGUAUUCUGUUGAAUUUUCAGAUCUAGUCAUGUGCCAGCAAGGCCUGCUGUACUUCUGGUGUAUUCUAUGUUGUAUUUUCAAAUAAAGAUGUUGCAUUCUGAAGUUAACCUU